Diceros bicornis minor is the source of this 1567-nucleotide RNA transcript. It is a transcript of the gene named chromosome 6 C10orf143 homolog, with no coding region annotated. The record is from RefSeq and is a predicted model, not a curated record. NCBI's taxonomy places the organism in Eukaryota, Metazoa, Chordata, Mammalia, Perissodactyla, Rhinocerotidae. The transcript is spliced from 7 exons.
CCAUGCAAGGCCUGGGGGACUCGGCGUCUAGGUCAGGUGGUGUCCUUGAGUCACACCUCCACGUGCAGGCGCUGGGCUGGGUGUGGCAGGGGUGCCAGACCUACAGGCUCGAUAAUCACAGGAUCUGUCUUCCAAGUUAAUGCAGGCAUCGUGUUUCUCAAGUGUUUUGCACAGCAUAAGGAGUGACUAGCUUUCUACCCUGCAGCAUCUGUUUCCUCACCACCCACUGCCUGACCACGGAGACAGUGUCACUUAUGUUCUGUCACAGCAGCACCCCACUUCCAGCCUCCUGAUUGUGUGGCUGAUGGAGCCCUGGCUCGCUGCUGCUGCUGCCCAGCAUCACGAGAGAGUAUCAUUCUUCAUAUCGCUAGCCCAGGAAAAGAUCAAAAUUCGAAAUGUGAAGUCCGGUUUCUACUGAAUGCAUAUUGCUUUCGCACCAUCGUUAAAUUGAAAAAUCGUAAGUCGAUUUGCAGCCGCCCGAGACAAACCUUGGAUGGAAGUUCCAUUGCUUAUUAAAUCUGCUACCUACCAAUCUGGGAAACGGGUGUGCAGGAGAUUAGAAGCAGCUGCACAGGAGUGGGGCUGCCCCCAGGUGAAGGCGGGCCCCCUGGCAUUCUGGAGCAUUGAGAAGCUGGAGUCACAGCCCAGAGGCCCGCCCCCUGCACCAAGGCUAGAGAGCGGCCAGGGGCGACCAAGUACGGGGAUUGCUCAGAAUGGUGGAAGGAGCUCGGCACAGCCUUGCCUGAGAUGUAUUGCGGGAGAAUCUUUGCUUCCCAUGUCUGUAGCACCUAUAAAUACUGCACUGAAGCAGGAAGGGACCCGGAACCUGGUGUAAACAAGAUUUCUGCCUUCUCCCGCACCUGUGGCGACAGCAGCAGUACCACCUAUGCUUGAUGCUGCAGGCCCAGGCGUCGAGCCGGGGACAGAGGCCAUGGAUGAAAAUGCGACGUUCUGACAUAGAUGAAGAAAGACCGAUGUGCAGAGGGACAUUUUAACCAUACUGAGAAUCAUUAGAAGAUGCAAGUUGGAAAAGGAAGAUACCAGUUUUGGUUUCAAACCCUCCCUGUGACAGCGAACGCCCGUCUCUCAUGGAUGGAUGUGGGUGUCCACCUGUUCAGACAGCAGCCCGCUGUUCCCUCAGUCAGGUUAUCCCACCGUCCUCCGCACCAGAGCCCCAGGAUCCCCGUCACUUCACAGGAGCCUGCAGAUUGCUAGCACUCGCUACAGCCUCCUUUCAGAUGAAUCCCGCUGAGAUGGAGAUCAACUGCGUUAUUUAGAAGUUAUAAAAGACUCAGUAUCGAGCCUCCUGUGAGGUUGAGAGCCCUGUGGCCUCCGGAACCGUGUCCAGGCAUAGCCCCGCUUUUGUACUUCUCUACUGUUAUGUGGAGCAUCCAGGGCUGCUUCUGUACGCUUUUUACUUAAAAGACUUAUUUUUAUAUUUAAAAAUGUUCUAUAAUCUUAAACUGAAUUUUACUGAAUGUUCGUAUCCAAUCUGUUCUGUGUAAUUCUCCAACUGAAGUUAUCGGGUAUGGGACCUUUUUUAUAUUAAAAUGGAAAUUUCUCAUUU